RNAcentral lists this ribosomal RNA (444 nucleotides) under uncultured bacterium. RNAcentral's name for it is "bacterial SSU rRNA". It matches the Rfam family "Bacterial small subunit ribosomal RNA", at positions 335 to 797 of the family's 1533-position model. The record is from RNAcentral.
ACUCCUACGGGAGGCAGCAGUGGGGAAUAUUGCACAAUGGACGAAAGUCUGAUGCAGCAACGCCGCGUGGAGGAUGACACAUUUCGGUGCGUAAACUCCUUUUAUAUAGGAAGAUGAUGACGGUACUAUAUGAAUAAGCACCGGCUAACUCCGUGCCAGCAGCCGCGGUAAUACGGAGGGUGCAAGCGUUACUCGGAAUCACUGGGCGUAAAGAGCGUGUAGGCGGAUAGAUAAGUCAGGAGUGAAAUCCUAUGGCUCAACCAUAGAACUGCUCUUGAAACUGUCAAUCUAGAAUGUGGGAGAGGUAGAUGGAAUUUCUGGUGUAGGGGUAAAAUCCGUAGAGAUCAGAAGGAAUACCGAUUGCGAAGGCGAUCUACUGGAACAUAAUUGACGCUGAGACGCGAAAGCGUGGGAGCAAACAGGAUUAGAUACCCUGGUAGGUGA